RNAcentral lists this ribosomal RNA (253 nucleotides) under uncultured bacterium. RNAcentral's name for it is "partial 16S ribosomal RNA". It matches the Rfam family "Bacterial small subunit ribosomal RNA", at positions 524 to 776 of the family's 1533-position model. The record is from RNAcentral.
UACGGGGGGGGCAAGCGUUGUUCGGAAUUACUGGGCGUAAAGGGCUCGUAGGCGGCCAACUAAGUCGGACGUGAAAUCCCCGGGCUCAACCUGGGAACUGCAUCCGAAACUGCCUUGCUCGAGUAUGGGAGAGGGAAGCGGAAUUCCCGGUGUAGUGGUGAAAUGCGUAGAUAUCGGGAGGAACACCAGUGGCGAAGGCGGCUUCCUGGCCUGUUCUUGACGCUGAGGCGCGAAAGCUAGGGGAGCAAACGGG